AUUGAACGCUGGCGGCAGGCCUAACACAUGCAAGUCGAACGGUAACAGAAAGCAGCUUGCUGCUUUGCUGACGAGUGGCGGACGGGUGAGUAAUGUCUGGGAAACUGCCUGAUGGAGGGGGAUAACUACUGGAAACGGUAGCUAUACCGCAUUACGGCCGAAGAACCAAGAGGGGGAACUUCCGGCCCCCUGCCAAUGGGAGUGCCCAGAUGGGAUUAGCUAGUAGGUGGGGUAACGGCUCACCUAGGCGACGAUCCCUAGCUGGUCUGAGAGGAUGACCAGCCACACUGGAACUGAGACACGGUCCAGACUCCUACGGGAGGCAGCAGUGGGGAAUAUUGCACAAUGGGCGCAAGCCUGAUGCAGCCAUGCCGCGUGUAUGAAGAAGGCCUUCGGGUUGUAAAGUACUUUCAGCGGGGAGGAAGGGAGUAAAGUUAAUACCUUUGCUCAUUGACGUUACCCGCAGAAGAAGCACCGGCUAACUCCGUG
Molecule: ribosomal RNA, 489 nt
Filed under: uncultured bacterium
Lineage: Bacteria
Description: partial 16S ribosomal RNA
Rfam family: Bacterial small subunit ribosomal RNA
Source: RNAcentral